RNAcentral lists this ribosomal RNA (780 nucleotides) under uncultured bacterium. RNAcentral's name for it is "bacterial SSU rRNA". It matches the Rfam family "Bacterial small subunit ribosomal RNA", at positions 55 to 826 of the family's 1533-position model. The record is from RNAcentral.
AUGCAAGUCGAGCGGCAGCACGGGGAGCUUGCUCCCUGGUGGCGAGCGGCGGACGGGUGAGUAAUGCAUAGGAAUCUGCCCGGUAGUGGGGGAUAACCUGGGGAAACCCAGGCUAAUACCGCAUACGUCCUACGGGAGAAAGCAGGGGACCUUCGGGCCUUGCGCUAUCGGAUGAGCCUAUGUCGGAUUAGCUGGUUGGUGAGGUAAUGGCUCACCAAGGCGACGAUCCGUAGCUGGUCUGAGAGGAUGAUCAGCCACAUCGGGACUGAGACACGGCCCGAACUCCUACGGGAGGCAGCAGUGGGGAAUAUUGGACAAUGGGCGCAAGCCUGAUCCAGCCAUGCCGCGUGUGUGAAGAAGGCCCUCGGGUUGUAAAGCACUUUCAGUGGGGAAGAAAGCCUUCCGGUUAAUACCCGGGAGGAGGGACAUCACCCACAGAAGAAGCACCGGCUAACUCCGUGCCAGCAGCCGCGGUAAUACGGAGGGUGCGAGCGUUAAUCGGAAUUACUGGGCGUAAAGCGCGCGUAGGCGGCUUGAUAAGCCGGUUGUGAAAGCCCCGGGCUCAACCUGGGAACGGCAUCCGGAACUGUCAGGCUAGAGUGCAGGAGAGGAAGGUAGAAUUCCCGGUGUAGCGGUGAAAUGCGUAGAGAUCGGGAGGAAUACCAGUGGCGAAGGCGGCCUUCUGGACUGACACUGACGCUGAGGUGCGAAAGCGUGGGUAGCAAACAGGAUUAGAUACCCUGGUAGUCCACGCCGUAAACGAUGUCGACUAGCCGUUGG